CGAAAGCCUGACGGAGCCACGCCGCGUGAGGGAUGAAGGCCUCUGGGUUGUAAACCUCUUUUCUCAAGGAAGAAGAACUGACGGUACUUGAGGAAUAAGCCACGGCUAAUUCCGUGCCAGCAGCCGCGGUAAUACGGGAGUGGCAAGCGUUAUCCGGAAUUAUUGGGCGUAAAGCGUCCGCAGGCGGCCUCGUAAGUCUGUCGUUAAAGCGUGGAGCUUAACUCCAUUUCAGCGAUGGAAACUGUGAGGCUUGAGUGUGGUAGGGGCAGAGGGAAUUCCCGGUGUAGCGGUGAAAUGCGUAGAUAUCGGGAAGAACACCAGUGGCGAAGGCGCUCUGCUGGGCCAUAACUGACGCUCAUGGACGAAAGCCAGGGGAGCG
Molecule: ribosomal RNA, 379 nt
Filed under: uncultured cyanobacterium
Lineage: Bacteria; Bacillati; Cyanobacteriota
Description: bacterial SSU rRNA
Rfam family: Bacterial small subunit ribosomal RNA
Source: RNAcentral